RNA transcript from Oncorhynchus kisutch (coho salmon), 2018 nucleotides. RefSeq lists it as uncharacterized. The transcript is spliced from 7 exons. The record is from RefSeq and is a predicted model, not a curated record. Lineage: Eukaryota; Metazoa; Chordata; Actinopteri; Salmoniformes; Salmonidae.
CAUUAUGGGGAUUCUACGUGGUGAGAAAUUUAGUGACGUUAGAUAGAGAUUAAAAGUGGAGAGUGAUAGUUGAGCAUUUUUUUUUAUAUUAUUCAAUUCAAAUUAGUUUUUUUAAAUUACAGGAGAGCGAGGAGGUAUAUUAAAUAUUUUUCUUGGUUUUAGAACUUUAUUUUUGUAUGCAGUUAGCAAGCCAAAUUUAAAUAAAUGACACGAAUUCCAGUAGCUAGCUAGCGUUACCAGCGCGAGUGUGCAGUUAUCUCCUCCAGAAUGGUAGAAUGGCCAACGCUGCCGAAAAUGUUGUGGAUUUUUUUUGGUUGAAAAAACAUUUUCAUUCUCUGGGGUACACGGAAAAGGUGCGAAUUAAAAGCGAGGGUCGACCUCUGCUUGAGAUCGGUUUCAUGAAGAAGAAAGCAAGAUGGAUUGUAUUGAUGAGAGAAUCAAAAGAGAUGCCGCCCUUAUGUGUUGAAUCCAAUGAGGGUUAACACCCCUGAUUCUGUGAUGUGGCUAACCGGCAAGGUGCACAGAAGGUCAAAGCCUCCAAUCAUUGUGAGCUGUGGGCAGGACCAAACAUCUGGGGAUGGAGCAUCAAUCCAGAGCCUCUCAGCCAGGUCACCUCUGCUAUUCCCAUAGAGACACAACAGAUAGAUCAAUCUGAUUCAUAUGGCCAUUUUGGUUGGCUUGGUUGAAUUGACAAUCAUCCAUUCAAGAUGCUAAAGAAUCAUAUACUAUGGAAGGUCCUUGAUAGUAAAUGCCAGUGUAUUCUAUGGCUGCCAUGAGUACAUGCCUUUCUCUGUCUCCUCAGUCUGGAAGGGUGACUCGGCUGAUAGAGAGAAAAUAUGAUGACGUGAUCUCAUCCUCCAGUUCUGAUGACUUUUCCAUCUACUCCUUCACUGACUGUGAAUCUGAGUGUGAUGAUGAGGAUCAUGAAAGGAGGACACCACCGCUGAAAAUUGAGAAUGGAAAUGUGACAAAGCUUGAUGUGAGGGAUAUGGACGAGGAUGAUCUGUCUCUCCACUUCUUCGAUGAGUCAGACUUCCUGAGCCCAGGGAAGGUCUCAGGUCCUGUAUCUGUCAAGAAUGGCCUCUCUCCCCUUGUGACCUCAGCACACCGGACCCUGGCGAAGCCCUACGGGCCCUGCCCUCUGCUGUAGGCUCUCCCUACCCAGUAAAUGUUCCAAGGCCUCGGACUCCUCUCAACCCUGUCAUUAUCGCUCCGCCCCGAACAGAGAACUUCCAAUACCGCCACAGCCCUCGCCUGGCUCCCAUCACCAACCUGAGUGAGAGGCUGCUCCAGGAAAUGGCUGGAGUGGCCCCACAGGUUUCUUUAGUGGCUGCUGUCCAAACUGAGAUGUUCAAAGAAAUAAUGGACAACUAUUACUUCUACCACACACACACACAGAUGUGAGUAUUGGUUAUUCCUACAACACACACAAACGUAAUUUCAGGACAGGAACUAUGAUUAGCAAAAUACAUAUAUUGGUCUCAUUCUUAUAUUUUGAGACAUGCAGCAUUAUUUAAAUAAAAAAAUAUAUUGAUCCCCAUACAGCCUAUGAUAAUGAAUUGGAUUUACAUGCUUAGGCUUGGAAAUAUAGCCAGGAAAAGUAAAGGACAGCACCAACCUUAGGGCAUUGUCACUGGUAUUGGGGUCUUAGGUCUCCUUUGGCCAAAGUGAAGAGUUGAGGGCCCCUUACUGGUCUCCUUGCAAUAUCUGGUCUCCCACACAGAGAUGGAAAUCUACACCUGUUUAGGCCUUGGAGGAUAUGGCUUCAGAUGAAAGACAGCAGAGAGAUGCAGAACGUAAAAGCUUCAAACACAUUGAUAUGCAAAUGCAGGACCAUUAUAAACUGAAGUGGAGCAUGCAUCUGGUCUGAAGCAUGUCAAAAGAGUAUAAAUGAACUGGGACUGGAGGAAUACAUCACAUUUAAACUAAAUUAGCAUGUAUCUGAUUUAGCUACACUCAUCUGUACUUGAAUGGUGCUGUUUGAAAAGUGCAUUUCCAAUAAAGCUUUUUAAAUUGCA